RNAcentral lists this ribosomal RNA (460 nucleotides) under uncultured bacterium. RNAcentral describes it as "partial 16S ribosomal RNA". It matches the Rfam family "Bacterial small subunit ribosomal RNA", at positions 338 to 795 of the family's 1533-position model. The record is from RNAcentral.
CCUACGGGAGGCAGCAGUGAGGAAUAUUGGUCAAUGGGCGCGAGCCUGAACCAGCCAAGUAGCGUGAAGGAUGACUGCCCUACGGGUUGUAAACUUCUUUUAUAAAGGAAUAAAGUGAGGCACGUGUGCCUUUUUGUAUGUACUUUAUGAAUAAGGAUCGGCUAACUCCGUGCCAUCAGCCGCGGUAAUACGGAGGAUCCGAGCGUUAUCCGGUUUUAUUGGGUUUAAAGGGAGCGUAGAUGGGUUGUUAAGUUAGUUGUGAAAGUUUGCGGCGCAACCGUAAAAUUGCAAUUGAUACUGGCAGUCUUGAGUACAGGUGAGGUAGGCGGAAUUCGUGGUGGAGCGGUGAAAUGCGUAGAUAUCACGAAGAACUCCGAUUGCGAAGGCAGCUUACUGGACUGCAACUGACAUUGAUGCUCGAAAGUGUGGGUAUCAAACAGGAUUAGAUACCCGUGUAGUC